UAUGUUCCGCUCUAUAUUCUUGUGACAUCCACGCACUCAUGCAUGCACACAAUGAUUUCCUUGCAUUGUCAGAAAAAUACUCAAGAGACUUACAUAAGCGUGAAUGCAAGCGAAUGCAUCUGCGCACACACAUAUACCUUUAAAUUCCAUCUCAGUACUGGCAGGGAAAGUCUCCUUGAAUGAUAAUAUUCCCAUUUGAGAGGAGACCGUCUACCGGUGGAGGAGGAGGGUGACAUAUAUGGAGCGCGUGUAGACGACAGUCUGUUAAAUAUUCAUGAUUGUGCACUUGCGGCUUGACAUGUGUACGGCAGAUGCUCGCCACGGAUCUGUCUCUCUUUAUGCGAGCCGCCCACUCUUGCAGCAAGUGUCAUCUGUAUGUGUGGCAUAUUAAAGGCCUGUGGGAACUCAUUAGGGUGACAGACGCAGGGCUUACUCUCCCUCGCUUGGAUUGCCAUGUUUGUGCCAUGACGGGUUCAGAAAGUGCAGUGAGAGGGCAGAGGUGGCGUGCGGUGGGUAUCAGUGUUUUUCAGUCAAAUGUAAAUUCAUGUUCCAGUUGCGUUUGAUGUUGAUGUCGAAAGGUGUUUUGUUUCUUGAAUUUGAAUAUGUGAAUUUGACUUUGAAUAUUGUGAAAUUUGAAUAUUGAAUUGGAAUAUUGUGUUCUUUUUCAGGAGCUGAUUCUUCUGAGCCGAAUCUUACUAUAUAGCUUAAAACCUUUUUGAGUUAUUUCAAGCUG
Molecule: long non-coding RNA, 733 nt
Organism: Cyprinus carpio carpio
Lineage: Eukaryota; Metazoa; Chordata; Actinopteri; Cypriniformes; Cyprinidae
Source: Ensembl